This 270-nucleotide ribosomal RNA is filed under the name uncultured archaeon. Its description in RNAcentral is "partial 16S ribosomal RNA". It matches the Rfam family "Archaeal small subunit ribosomal RNA", at positions 477 to 747 of the family's 1478-position model. The record is from RNAcentral.
CAGCACCUCAAGUGGUCAGGAUGAUUAUUGGGCCUAAAGCAUCCGUAGCCGGCUUAUCAAGUCUUUUGUUAAAUCCAACGAUUCAAUCGUUGGGCCGCAAAAGAUACUGUUAUGCUAGAGGACGGGAGAGGUCGACGGUAGUCCAGGGGUAGGGGUGAAAUCCUAUAAUCCUUGGAGGACCACCAGUGGCGAAGGCGGUCGACUAGAACGUGCCUGGCGGUGAGGGACGAAAGCUGGGGGAGCGAACCGGAUUAGAUACCCGAGUAGUCC